GCCCGCCUAGCUCAAUCGGAUAGAGCGUGAGACUUUUAAGGCGCGGCUAUGCAGUCAUCCUUGACAUCUCAAGGCUGCGGGUUCGACCCCCGCGGUGGGCU
This is a transfer RNA of Phlebiopsis gigantea 11061_1 CR5-6, 101 nucleotides long. It matches the Rfam family "tRNA". From Rfam's summary of the family: Transfer RNA (tRNA) molecules are approximately 80 nucleotides in length. NCBI's taxonomy places the organism in Eukaryota, Fungi, Basidiomycota, Agaricomycetes, Polyporales, Phanerochaetaceae. The record is from Rfam.